Molecule: ribosomal RNA, 468 nt
Filed under: uncultured bacterium
Lineage: Bacteria
Description: partial 16S ribosomal RNA
Rfam family: Bacterial small subunit ribosomal RNA
Source: RNAcentral
GACGAACGCUGGCGGCGUGCUUAACACAUGCAAGUCGAACGGAAAGGCCCUGCUUUUGUGGGGUGCUCGAGUGGCGAACGGGUGAGUAACACGUGAGUAACCUGCCCUUGACUUUGGGAUAACUUCAGGAAACUGGGGCUAAUACCGGAUAGGAGCUCCUGCUGCAUGGGGGGGGUUGGAAAGUUUCGGCGGUUGGGGAUGGACUCGCGGCUUAUCAGCUUGUUUGUGGGGUAGUGGCUUUCCAAGGCUUUGACGGGUAGCCGGCCUGAGAGGGUGACCGGCCACAUUGGGACUGCGGUACGGCCCAGACUCCUACGGGAGGCAGCAGUGGGGAAUAUUGCACAAUGGGCGGAAGCCUGAUGCAGCAACGCCGCGUGCGGGAUGACGGCCUUCGGGUUGUAAACCGCUUUCGCCUGUGACGAAGCGUGAGUGACGGUAAUGGGUAAAGAAGCACCGGCUAACUACGUG